GCAGUACACGAGAUCCCUAGAGCCUGGCACAAGCCCAGAUCCCAUCCUUUCAGCCCUAGAGAGCCCAGAAACCGCAUGCAGAGCCCUGGAGAGCCUAGCACCCACCCAUAGAGCCCU
This is a long non-coding RNA of Nanorana parkeri, 117 nucleotides long. RefSeq lists it as uncharacterized. The transcript is spliced from 3 exons. NCBI's taxonomy places the organism in Eukaryota, Metazoa, Chordata, Amphibia, Anura, Dicroglossidae. The record is from RefSeq and is a predicted model, not a curated record.